UUUGUCCAUUGUUUGCAGGGCUCUCUUUGCUUUUGGGUUAUCCACUACGAUGAUUGUUAUUGUAAGGAACAAGGAAAGCAAUUUGUUGAAGAGGAAUUCCAUUCCUGAAAGACCCAAUUCCUGGAUGAUUGGAAAACUCGGAGUCUUGAAGAUCAGGGUUUCAAGGCUAUGCCUUUCUUCAUCUGCCCAUCAUUCUUUCUCCAUUAAAGCUAUGGCUAAGAAGAAUAGUCUAGAUAAUUCCUUUUCCUCUUCUUCUUCUGGUUGAAUCUAAUAAUGAGGUGCUUCCACUUUAUUCCUUGAAUGCCGAGUUUGCAAGACCAUUAUGGAUUUUUGGAAUGAAUUCUUAUGAGUUCCUCAUGAGCGAUGUAGAAAAAACCUUAAUUACUUGCAGCUACAGGCAGAAUGGGAGGUCAUAUCUUGGAAUUCUAGAUGAUUUUCAGGGUUCAAUUUCUCUGCAUGAUAUUCCUUUCACAGAUAAAGAAAAUAUUGUACUUUCCAAAUCCUAGACGCUUCAUAAUAUUAACUUUAAAACCAUUCGCGCAUGGGAAAUCAUAAUGAUGGUUUUUUAAGAUGUAAGUUGUUUCUUUUGCAGACUUCAUGGAAUGAUUAUCUGUAUGUUGAGGGCGCCUUUGCAAUUCAUCCUUCAUCAUCGGCUAAGGUCAGAUUGUCCACUUCUUCUAAAAAGUUAAUCCUAUUUUGAUUGAAGUAAAUAGCACUACGAAACUUGCUAAUGAUUUUUUUUUUAAUUUGACAUUUUUGUAUAUAUCAUUCCCUCAUCUCCUUGUUGA
This is a non-coding RNA of Durio zibethinus, 788 nucleotides long. The record is from RefSeq and is a predicted model, not a curated record. NCBI's taxonomy places the organism in Eukaryota, Viridiplantae, Streptophyta, Magnoliopsida, Malvales, Malvaceae.